AGGUACUGCUACAAUACAAAGUCUGAUCCGAACUCGUCGAGACUUUGGCGAUUCUGGAUUUGGGAUUUUUCCGGAUAUUAGAUCAACAGUUUAAAUCUAGUAAAAUGGUCUUUUUUUGAAAAGGAAAUCAGUUUACUAAGAGAUAGUUUAUUUCAGACGGAGAAAGAUCUGAAACAGCUUCAUCAAGAAAACAGGAGAACAUUUAUAUUUGGAUUAUCCAUAUUUAUUUUAGUAAUAUUUAUUCUAAUUUAUUGGCAUGCAUGAUACAUAAAAUUUUGCAUAAUUUUAAAUUGCACAAAUAUACUUUUAAGAAAAAUUCCAUUCUUUUGAAAAUUUUUACUGGUAUAUAUUACCAGUAAAAAAUUGUCACUUGGUACAUAUUAGCCAUUUUUAGAAUUCUUUACAUAUUUGAUAUUCAAUAAAGAAGUAAUAUUUCAAGAAA
Long non-coding RNA from Stegodyphus dumicola, 442 nucleotides. NCBI's taxonomy places the organism in Eukaryota, Metazoa, Arthropoda, Arachnida, Araneae, Eresidae. The record is from RefSeq and is a predicted model, not a curated record.